UUUUGAUUCAUUUAAUAAGCUAUGGAAGAGGGCAACAACAUGACCUAAAAGCUUUGGACACUGGAAGGCUUUCAACUUGUUUAAUUCAUUUAAAGGACUUAUUUUAUUAGUUUAGAAUAAUUGGAUUUAUUAUGGGAAGCACUUAAGGGGGCCUAUGCAGGGGCAUGUUGGAAAAUUUAUUAUUUUAUUGAACUAGGAUUAGGGUUUUACUGUAGCCGAGAUACUGUAGCCGCACUGUAGAUGCAGCACUAUUCACUCAGGGGCAUUUUUGGAAGAUGAAGAUUUAUUUUGG
This is a long non-coding RNA of Juglans microcarpa x Juglans regia, 292 nucleotides long. RefSeq lists it as uncharacterized. The record is from RefSeq and is a predicted model, not a curated record. The transcript is spliced from 3 exons. Lineage: Eukaryota; Viridiplantae; Streptophyta; Magnoliopsida; Fagales; Juglandaceae.